This 448-nucleotide ribosomal RNA is filed under the name uncultured Bacteroidota bacterium. RNAcentral's name for it is "bacterial SSU rRNA". It matches the Rfam family "Bacterial small subunit ribosomal RNA", at positions 40 to 485 of the family's 1533-position model. The record is from RNAcentral. Lineage: Bacteria; Pseudomonadati; Bacteroidota.
CGGCAGGCCUAAUACAUGCAAGUCGGACGGGAUUGGAGAGCUUGCUUUCCAUGAGAGUGGCGCACGGGUGCGUAACACGUAUGUAACCUACCUUCAUCAGGGGGAUAGCCUCUCGAAAGAGAGAUUAACACCGCAUAACAUCGUAGGGCAGCAUUGCUUAGUGAUCAAAUAUUUAUAGGAUGAAGAUGGGCAUGCGGGACAUUAGCUAGAUGGUGAGGUAACGGCUCACCAUGGCGACGAUGUCUAGGGGAUCUGAGAGGAUGACCCCCCACGCUGGUACUGAGACACGGACCAGACUCCUACGGGAGGCAGCAGUAAGGAAUAUUGGUCAAUGGAGGCAACUCUGAACCAGCCAUGCCGCGUGCAGGAAGACGGCCCUACGGGUUGUAAACUGCUUUUGUACCGGAAUAAACCUUUUCACGUGUGAGAAGCUGAAUGUACGGUAAGA